This is a non-coding RNA of Ictidomys tridecemlineatus (thirteen-lined ground squirrel), 73 nucleotides long. Lineage: Eukaryota; Metazoa; Chordata; Mammalia; Rodentia; Sciuridae. The record is from the annotation of a RefSeq genome assembly.
UGUGAGUAUAGCUCAGUGGUAAAGUACUUGCCUAGCAUGCAGGAGACCUUGGGUUCAAUCCCCAGUACCACAA